RNAcentral lists this ribosomal RNA (76 nucleotides) under uncultured bacterium. RNAcentral describes it as "partial 16S ribosomal RNA". The record is from RNAcentral.
CGUAGGGUUCGGUCGAGAGGAAGGUCCCCCCACACUGGUACUGAGACACGGACCAGACUCCUACGGGAGGCAGCAG